This 518-nucleotide ribosomal RNA is filed under the name Tubificoides benedii. Its description in RNAcentral is "partial 16S ribosomal RNA". It matches the Rfam family "Bacterial large subunit ribosomal RNA", at positions 1802 to 2620 of the family's 2925-position model. The record is from RNAcentral. Lineage: Eukaryota; Metazoa; Annelida; Clitellata; Tubificida; Naididae.
GUUUAUCAAAAACAUUGCCACUAGAAAUCUAUUAGUGGUACACCCUGCCCAGUGAACAUUCAACGGCCGCGGUAUCCUGACCGUGCAAAGGUAGCAUAAUCACUUGCCUAUUAAUUGUAGGCUAGAAUGAAUGGGUAAACGAGAAUACCACUGUCUCCUCUAAAUACAUAAAACUUUAUAUUUUGGUGAAGAAGCCAAAAUAAAACCGCAGGACAAGAAGACCCUAUAGAGCUUUACCCUAAAUAUUUAAAGCAAAAAUAUCACGGUUCGGUUGGGGCGACCUGGGGAAACAAAUCACCCCUUAAACUUCAGAUACACAAAUCAUACAAACGAUCCUUAAUCUAAGAUCAACGAAUUUAGCUACCUUAGGGAUAACAGGCUAAUCCUCUUUAAGAGCCCUUAUUGACAAGAGGGAUUGGCACCUCGAUGUUGGCUUAGGACUUCUCCAUGAUGUAGCAGUCAUGGCUAGAUGGUUUGUUCAACCAUUAAUAUCCUACGUGAUCUGAGUUCACACCGGA